GGUCUUGGCCUGGUUUCAUCCGUCUUCCAGUUGCUCUUUUGAUUACAUCUCAAGAGUGGUUGGAAAGAUUGAUGUUAGCGGGGCAAAUGAACAUUCGGCGUAUGAGUGGUGAUUGGAUAGCUAGUAUUUGUAGGCUCUGUGCUCGCGCACCCAACUACAGACCAACUAUCCUCCUCAGUUUCUUCACUAGCAUAGUUUUAUGCUUGUUGAACUGAUCUGGAGCCUGUGUUGCGUACCUAUCUGUAAGGAAUUGUUAAGCUUUGCUUAAAAUGUUGUUUGCGGA
This 283-nucleotide long non-coding RNA is filed under the name Brassica rapa (field mustard). RNAcentral describes it as "long non-coding RNA (BRAP_LNC008018)". The record is from RNAcentral. Lineage: Eukaryota; Viridiplantae; Streptophyta; Magnoliopsida; Brassicales; Brassicaceae.